RNAcentral lists this ribosomal RNA (371 nucleotides) under uncultured organism. RNAcentral's name for it is "bacterial SSU rRNA". It matches the Rfam family "Bacterial small subunit ribosomal RNA", at positions 527 to 896 of the family's 1533-position model. The record is from RNAcentral.
CGGGGGGGCAAGCGUUGUUCGGAAUUACUGGGCGUAAAGGGCGCGUAGGCGGUUUGCUAAGUUGGACGUGAAAACUCUGGGCUUAACCCAGAGCCUGCAUCCAAAACUGGCAAGCUGGAGUAUUGGAGGGGGAAGCGGAAUUCCUGGUGUAGCAGUGAAAUGCGUAGAUAUCAGGAGGAACACCGGUGGCGAAGGCGGCUUCCUGGACAAUAACUGACGCUGAGGCGCGAAAGCUAGGGGAGCAAACAGGACUAGAUACCCUGGUAGUCCUAGCCCUAAACGAUGGAUACUUGCUGUGAGGGGGAUUGAAUCCCUUCGUGGCGAAGCUAACGCAUUAAGUAUCCCGCCUGGGGAGUACGGUCGCAAGGCUG